UGGGAGGGCAUCUGUGUUAGUCCUUUC
This 27-nucleotide non-coding RNA is filed under the name Homo sapiens (human). Lineage: Eukaryota; Metazoa; Chordata; Mammalia; Primates; Hominidae. The record is from RNAcentral.